AAAGCACUAGCAUCUUUCUACACAGGAAAAGGAACUGUCUGCACUGUUAAGAGCCCCAUCUCUUUGCUGGGCUCAGCAAAUCUUGUGAGGCAGAGAGAAAAUGCCUAUGAGAUACCAUAAAUAUGGGAGGUGACUGACCAGCCAGAGAACUGCUGACCAGACUGGUGCAGAGGACAGGACCACAAAAGACAUGAGUCUUCCCAGCACAAGCAAAGCUGAAUAUUGUGAAAUUCUAAGGAAGAAAUCUGAGAGAGACAUGAGAAAAUAACUCCCUUCACUUCCUCUGCAGAGAUCAGUGCCCACAGGUGGGGGAUAUUGCACAUCGUAACGUAUAAUUUUA
This 340-nucleotide long non-coding RNA is filed under the name Vombatus ursinus (common wombat). Its description in RNAcentral is "lncRNA (ENSVURG00010010159.1)". Lineage: Eukaryota; Metazoa; Chordata; Mammalia; Diprotodontia; Vombatidae. The record is from RNAcentral.